RNAcentral lists this long non-coding RNA (2207 nucleotides) under Salvator merianae (Argentine black and white tegu). RNAcentral's name for it is "lncRNA (ENSSMRG00000023035.1)". Lineage: Eukaryota; Metazoa; Chordata; Lepidosauria; Squamata; Teiidae. The record is from RNAcentral.
ACAAUCAACUGGGAACUAAAGUUGGAAACUGUACAGAAAGUGCUAAUUAAAUAAAAUGUUACAUUUCUGUAACUCAGUUAGUGAGAUUUUCACAUUACCUUUUUUUUCCUAAGCUAUCUUGAUAAUUAAUGAAUAGAGCAGCACUCCUGCUCUUCCUCCCAUAUGUUUACUCAAACAGCAAAGUUGCCUCCUUUUAAGGAAUAGACUUCCCUUCACUGAAGUGCCCUCACUGGUGCCAGGACAACAUUUCACUUCCACUUAACUAUUUAUUUCCAAUACACGCUCAUAAAAGAACGCUUCAACUUCCCACAAUGAGUCUGCAGAAAAUUAUUUAAUAACUUCUUUGGGGAGGGAGAACGGGAGGAUUGCUGGAAAGCAACUUGCAACUCUCACCCCAAUCCCAUGUACACGGUUUGUAUUUUUACCAGCCAUAGCUGGAUGUGUGUGCAUAUAAAGUACAUGUAAGUGUGGGUAUGGAUCUCUUCGCCUGUGCCCGUGUUUGCGAGUGGCAGGUUUUUGUGUGUGCUUGAGUAAGAAAGGAAGACAGAACUUGNACAAUUCCACGUAUUACUGCAGUGCAAAUGCUAACUAAGCGAGUGAUGGAAGACGCACCUCGUUUCCCUCCGUCCAUUGCUUCCCCGCUUCCCAAGAUACAAAGAAGAAAGAAACGCGAGAAGGCAAAGGAACAGCCAAUGCGACAGCAAAGGAUCCUUUUCCUCCUCACACAGACUGACAUAGUUUCUGGACAUAAAAACCCACUUCGUGCUCCCACGCAAAGCCGUCGCGGCGUUUCCUAAGCCACUUCAUAAAGAGGCGAGUCAGGAGUCAGCUGUCAGCCAGUAGUCGCUGCCCCCCCCCCGUCCCGCCUGGGCGAUGCCAAAGAAGGCAAGCAGACUCUCGGCUGAGGAACUAGCUCAGGCCCGCUGGUCAAACGCCAGACGAGGAAUCCCCAGCCGCAGCCAACUAGCCAAACAUCAACCGCCGCCAUUUGUUUACUUGUCAGCCGGCAUGAGCGGCCACCGCAACUCCGUCCAGCCCAUCGACAGAGCCCUCCACCCCCGGCGGCGGCAGCGCGCCUCCUCGCCUUGCCUUCGGGGUCGCCCUGUAAAACUCACCCUUACCCUCGCUCCCCUACUCUCCUGGUGAGCGUCCAAGGCANCUUGAGGAGCGAAAGAGAGUCGCCGCCGCAGACACAAGCAGGCAGUCCCGCCCCUCUUAACAUUCGAUCCGGUUCCGGGAGGGCAACCGACAACUCCAAGUCGUGGCUCGCAGCGUUGCUUUCCGGCUCUCUUUUUCUCAAGAAGAUUCUUUCUUUCCUUGUUCCAUGCAGCGGCGGACUGAUGGGGAAACGACUUGUCGUAAAGGAGGGCGUGGCCAGGAGCCUGCGACAAUGGCGUAAAGAUAUCGAAGGCGCAGAAUUGUCUUUCUCGUCGGGACGCGAGAUAGAAAUUUAUAGAGCGACAGGAAACCUGAAAAGCUUGCAGAAAUGUUGGUUCGUUUGUUACAACAAACGGGGCUUAAAAUAAAAUGCUGCAGUAUGGAGUAACUACUGCUGAGCAUGCCUGUAUACCAGAAUCUGAAAGGAACACACCAAUGAAAUCAGAGUACUUACGAAUAUUGGAGGGUUCUUUGAUAAGAAGAAUGUACUUGGGAUUUCUACUUCAAUCAAGUCCUUGGUACAUAUGAUGGUUUCAUUGAUUUCUGUACACAUAAUCAAAAUAACUGUUUACCAUCAUAUAGAACAGAUGUACAAAAAAUCAAUCCUAACCACAGAAGCCUAGUUCAUUGCACUUAAGAAAANGUUAACCGAUUCUGCAGUUUGCGUGAACAUACAGGCUUAUCGUUAUUAUUCUGACUUAAGAGAAUUUGCUUGAUAAUUAUAUUUAUUUAUUGAAAACUGUUUUGAGACAUUACCCAUGCAAUCCAGGAAUUGCUUCACUGGAGCACGCAGUGCAACAUCUGGACAUGUUGGCACAGCCAAGUUUUUGCCGUGAUGCUUGCUGUUAUUGUCAUGGGGGAGGCUGCUUAACUUUGAAUGCUUACUGACACCAGUGCAAAUUGAUGGAAUUUCCAUCAGGAACUUCAUAACUAGCAGCUGGGCUACAGAUGCUCCCAGAAUGGAAAAAGGCAAGAGUGCAGCAUCAGGAGUUAAUUUAUAUGUCAUUAUCUUGUUACCAAUAAUAAACAUUGUUGAAUAUUUUCCUGCA